RNAcentral lists this ribosomal RNA (510 nucleotides) under uncultured bacterium. Its description in RNAcentral is "bacterial SSU rRNA". It matches the Rfam family "Bacterial small subunit ribosomal RNA", at positions 8 to 518 of the family's 1533-position model. The record is from RNAcentral.
AGAGUUGAUCAUGGCUCAGGACGAACGCUGGCGGCGUGCCUAAUACAUGCAAGUCGAACGGCUUUCUAUGGAAGCUUGCUUCCACUGAGAAGAUAGUGGCGAACGGGUGAGUAACACGUGGGUAACCUGCCCAUAAGAGGGGGAUAACAUCCGGAAACGGGUGCUAAUACCGCAUAGUUUUCUUGAUCGCAUGAUUGAGAAAGGAAAGACGGCCUUUGUGCUGUCGCUUAUGGAUGGACCCGCGGCGUAUUAGUUAGUUGGUGAGGUAACGGCUCACCAAGACGAUGAUACGUAGCCGACCUGAGAGGGUGAUCGGCCACAUUGGGACUGAGACACGGCCCAGACUCCUACGGGAGGCAGCAGUGGGGAAUAUUGCACAAUGGGGGAAACCCUGAUGCAAGCAACGCCGCGUGAGUGAUGACGGCCUUCGGGUUGUAAAGCUCUGUCUUCAGGGACGAUAAUGACGGUACCUGAGGAGGAAGCCACGGCUAACUACGUGCCAGCCGCAGC